GUAAGACAUUUACCUAAGUUCACACAACUAGGAAAGGCAAAGCCACAUCUUCCAACUCCCAACUCACGUUCAAGGUCCUUUCAGAUUCCAGGCUUCGCUAAUGAAUCAAUUGGUGUGAUUCCUCCAAGUCCCUGUGAUAUUGAUGUCUAUGAGGAAAAAAUGAAGAAAGAAACAAAGCCAGUGUCCCAGUUUCAAUGAAAGUGACACCAUCACCUGUUACCAUUUCAGUGGAAGAAAUGAUCACUUCAUCUGAUUCACCCCUGCGCCUGGUGGGCGGGCAGAACCGCUGCGAGGGCCGCCU
Long non-coding RNA from Fukomys damarensis (Damara mole-rat), 301 nucleotides. RefSeq lists it as uncharacterized. NCBI's taxonomy places the organism in Eukaryota, Metazoa, Chordata, Mammalia, Rodentia, Bathyergidae. The transcript has 4 exons. The record is from RefSeq and is a predicted model, not a curated record.